Molecule: small RNA, 1056 nt
Filed under: Rattus norvegicus (Norway rat)
Lineage: Eukaryota; Metazoa; Chordata; Mammalia; Rodentia; Muridae
Description: uncharacterized LOC102550575
Source: RNAcentral
CUCUGACUCCUGAGGAGCAAGAACCAGGAGAGAGGAGCAGCAGGGAUACUGGGAUCAUAUCCGACUCAGAAGGGAAACAAAAACUCAGUUCUGUGAAACUGAAGCUUUGCAUCCUCUGAUGAAAAUCUCCCCGUCUCUUCCGAUGCCUCCUUGUCCCUGGUGACCAACACUGGACUCCCCUUCAAAGUCCUUGGAUUGAGAGUGCUGAGGUCAGUGAAGCGCUGGGUGCACCAGCAGUUACAGUCAGUCAGAGAGCUCUGACUUCACGAGUGGACUGGCUUCUCAAUAGAUUCCUAAUUUCAUGACCUUUUUAGGGAAGCGGCAAAGGGUCAGUGGUAGAGCCAAGUUGAAGAGAGUGGGUCAUCCUGGUGAGCGCUGCCUCCCUUGGAGCCUGUACUGUGGGUGGUUGUGAGCCAUCAGAACUGCAGGUUUUAUCACCCGCGGUGGCUGUUCUACUGAUUACCUUCUUCUUCCUGUGGGCAGUGCCUUUCUCACAUGCACACACUGUGUCUGCAGUUUGGUGAGUUUUUCCUGGCUCAUGAUCAUCUAUUUCGUCUUGUUGAAGUGGAAUCCAUGGGGGACUAGGGUUCACACUCGGGGUCCUUGGCAGACUAGCUAAGAUAAGGCGCACACUGCGGGACACAAGAUGGUGGCAGCAUGUCUUUCAUAUUCUAUAUCCUUGUUCUGGGAACUGGUACAGAAAUGAGAAGCAAAGGGAAGUAAUUUCUUUAUACACAGUUAGCUUUAAUAGCCAUAAGAAAGACUGCUUAGCGUCUUCUCACCCAUCGCUCUGCACAUUAUGCUGGCCUUCAACACAUAGCCAUAGCGACAUAUAUAAAUCUAUAUUAUACAUUUAUACACACACCCACGUCCUAUGAGCACUGUGAAGACACAGUCUUCAGUACAGAGCAGGCCUUGCCCAUGCCAUUAAGAGGCACCGAUAUGCUGUUCACUAGACAUUCAAUAGGCAUGAUGUGGCCACCAGUCUCCAAUUCCCCUGAGGGAAGUUAGGAUUACAGGGGACAGCAGAGUUAAGGAAGUUGGUUCAACUUGAGA